Molecule: non-coding RNA, 2291 nt
Organism: Taeniopygia guttata (zebra finch)
Lineage: Eukaryota; Metazoa; Chordata; Aves; Passeriformes; Estrildidae
Source: RefSeq, a predicted model, not a curated record
AAUCCUCUCUGUUACACCUCUGGCUAUACUCAUAGCAUUUCAACACCUCUCUGUCUCCAGGCUUCCUUCUGCCCUGCCCAUGAUGUUCUGCUAUUGCCAUUUUACAGGAGAAGGCACAAUCAGUGAGUGGAUCUCUUGACCUGGCAAGAAAUUGAAGUCAGAAAGUUGCUGAAUCACACCACUGUGCAGAAUAUAUUCCUCAAAUGGCCUUUCUCUAAUGAUGGGGGGAAAAAAAGCACAAAAGGAAGCAGCAGCAAACCUGUAUUAAAAGUCAAACAAUGAACCAUAUUACGAGGAAAAGUAAUGGUGUUGGAAGAUGAAAUUCUGCUCAACUUCCAGACAAGCAAAUUUCCAUCCUGCAAUGUGCAGAGAAGCUGCUGAGAUGCUGGGACAGAGAGACCGGGGAAACACUAAGAAAUUCCUGACUCCCUGUAGGGCACAAAGUGUGAACACAAAGAUGAGGGAGAAGGAAGACAUAGGUUCCUCACUUAAGGUUUUAAACGCCUCUUGCUGAGGAAAAGAAGGUGGCCUGCUCCCUCUAUAGGCUUCCCUGGUUAUGGCUUUCACGAACCAGCCAUCCAGGGAAUCAGAGCUGAAUGCUUUUGAAGACUGUCAAAAACGCUGAAGUGAGAUGUAUUUUGCAUUUCUUUUACAUUUAGAGAUGUUAUUUGUGUGUGUACAUGUGUGUGAAUAUGCAUCUGUGCGUGUGUGCAUAUGCCCACACACAUUCUCUAACACCUAUGUACAUAGCUACUUUUCCUGCAAAAGUCACAUAUGGAGCUUUUUUAUGUUUAAUUUUAGUCUUUUUUAAGAACAAGUGUGUGAUCCUUUUGUGUGAACUUGCUGUUUGUCAAUGGUUUAUGACAACAACCUCCUGACUGCAUCUUGCCCUUAUUAGUGGAAGAAGACACCAUCUGAGCCAGCGGUUCCUUGAACUCAGGCAUUCUUCCUCCCCAGUGCCUUCUAUCCCAACUGCUUUUCUCUCCUCUCUGUCCCAGGACUUUGCCUCCUCAGUUGCACCAGCACUGCAAUUUCAGGCAUCAUUCUGGUAAGAAAAGCAACCUAGUCUGUAUUAAGGACAACUCUGUAAACAAAAAGCCUAUUUGUAAUUUGGAUCAGCUCAGUGACCUGAUUUACAGCACAAACCCAAAAAGAGUUGCAGAGAAUUGUGAGUGUGAAGAAGCAGCCGGAGGCAAGGCAGGGAUGGGAGACAGACAUUCCCAAGCUGUCCUUGCAGCUGAAGUCCCCCUUUUGAUAACUAUAGCUGCCAGUGUACCUUUGGUCUGGCACAGAUAUCAAAGGGAAUUCCCCUGCACUGCCAGAAGUAGCACUUUAGGGAAAAACUGACACAUUGGUGGGUUAUAUAUUAACCAUUAUAGAGAGUGGCAGUGUGACAAGGCAGUGAGUUACUGAUAAAAAAAAAUAGCAACAUUUCCAUUAUGCAGAGCAUGGGUAAUAGCUCCUAGGAAAAAAUGACCUAGCUCUUUCCACUAAAUUAUACUGUUUUCAAUUCUUCCAUACUUUCUGAAAUGUGAAAUAUUGUUCAGAUGUUUUCAAUGCUAAAUAAAUGCCUCUGGCUGGUUUUUUGUGGGUUGCUGAGGGGAGAAGGCAGGAAAUGUUUUAGCUAAAAUUAAUGCAGUUACUUCCAAGGAAGUGUCAGAAGAGCAGCGUACAAGAUUUCAGGACUUACAGAAAAAAAUAAUCGUAGCAGUCAUUCAACACUAUGCUCAGUUUUUCUUCCCAAGGUCUGACCUUGCUCUGUGUUCAGCAUUAUCAGAGAUCUGCUGCAAUGAAGUUUAGGUUCUUAUGUCUCCUAGGACACAAAUUAAUUGCUUUAACUUAAGUUUAAAAGCAGAACCUUGCCAGAGAUGACAAAUGGGAGUAUUAUAUAUCACCAGUUAAAUGACUAAUGUUUAAUUUGUCUUUGAAGUUUCUGGUGAAAGCUGAAGCGUAAUGGUGAAAGAAAAAAUAAUUUAAGUUACAUAACACCUCACAUAUGGAAUUGAUAAUGCUCUGUUUUUAUAUGGAAUACAUUGCUCUUCAGUGGUUAUACACACACACACACACACACACACACAUCUAUAUAUAUAUAUAUAUAUAUAAUAAAAUGAAGAUUAUUCAUUUUAUUAUAUAUAUAUAUGUCAAAUGGAAUUGUGCUGUAGAUUUAUUCAAGAGAUUCAGGAGAUUUAAACUUUUUGACUGAACAUGAGAUUUUUUUUUAUAGAAUAUCCUUCUUUUGGUCAAUGUAUUCCACUACUUAAUGAAAAGAACUCUGUUCAUGUUUCAAGUCA